RNAcentral lists this ribosomal RNA (440 nucleotides) under uncultured bacterium. Its description in RNAcentral is "partial 16S ribosomal RNA". It matches the Rfam family "Bacterial small subunit ribosomal RNA", at positions 338 to 795 of the family's 1533-position model. The record is from RNAcentral.
CCUACGGGUGGCAGCAGUGGGGAAUAUUGCACAAUGGGGGAAACCCUGAUGCAGCGACGCCGCGUGAGUGAAGAAGUCCUUCGUUAUGUAAAGCUUUAUCAGCAGGGAAGAAAAUGACGGUACCUGAGUCAGAAGCCCCGGCUAACUACGUGCCAGCAGCCGCGGUACUACGUCGGGGGCAAGCGUUAUCCGGAUUUACUGGGUGUAAAGGGAGCGUAGACGGCAGUGCAAGUCUGGAGUGAAAGGCGGGGGCUCAACCCCCGGACUGCUCUGGAAACUGGACGGCUGGAGUGCAGGCGAGGUAAGUGGAAUUCGUAGUGUAGCGGUGAAAUGCGUAGAUAUUAGGAGGAACACCAGUGGCGAAGGCAGCUUACUGGACUGUAACUGACGUUGAGGCUCGAAAGCGUGGGGAGCAAACGGGAUUAGAUACCCCUGUAGUC